CCUACGGUGGGCUGCAGUGGGGAAUUUUGGACAAUGGGGGCAACCCUGAUCCAGCCAUUCCGCGUGAGUGAAGAAGGCCUUCGGGUUGUAAAGCUCUUUCGGCCGGGAAGAAAUCGCAUCUCCUAAUACGGGGUGUGGAUGACGGUACCGGAAGAAGAAGCACCGGCUAACUACGUGCCAGCAGCCGCGGUAAUACGUAGGGUGCGAGCGGUGAUCAGAAUUACUGGGGGUGGAUCAUGCACAGGGAGCUGAAAUCCCCGGGCUUAACCUGGGAACUGCGUUUGUGACUGGUGGGCUUGAGUGCGGCAGAGGGGGGUGGAAUUCCACGUGUAGCAGUGAAAUGCGUAGAGAUGUGGAGGAACACCGAUGGCGAAGGCAGCCCCCUGGGUCGACACUGACGCUCAUGCACGAAAGCGUGGGGAGCAAACAGGAUUAGAUACCCGAGUAGUC
Molecule: ribosomal RNA, 450 nt
Filed under: uncultured bacterium
Lineage: Bacteria
Description: partial 16S ribosomal RNA
Rfam family: Bacterial small subunit ribosomal RNA
Source: RNAcentral